RNAcentral lists this ribosomal RNA (283 nucleotides) under uncultured bacterium. Its description in RNAcentral is "partial 16S ribosomal RNA". It matches the Rfam family "Bacterial small subunit ribosomal RNA", at positions 773 to 1060 of the family's 1533-position model. The record is from RNAcentral.
GUGGAUUAGAUACCCUUGUAGUCCACGCAGUAAACGAUGAUAGCUCGUUGUCAGCGAUACAAUGUUGGUGACUAAGAGAAAUCGAUAAGCUAUCCACCUGGGGAGUACGUUCGCAAGAAUGAAACUCAAAGGAAUUGACGGGGGCCCGCACAAGCGGAGGAACAUGUGGUUUAAUUCGAUGAUACGCGAGGAACCUUACCCGGGCUUGAAAGUUAGUGACGGAUCUGGAAACAGGUCUUCCCUUCGGGGCACGAAACUAGGUGCUGCACGGUCGUCGACAGCU